Molecule: unclassified non-coding RNA, 351 nt
Filed under: Eutrema edwardsii
Lineage: Eukaryota; Viridiplantae; Streptophyta; Magnoliopsida; Brassicales; Brassicaceae
Description: partial external transcribed spacer
Source: RNAcentral
UUGGAUAGCUAGUGUUUGUAGGCUCCGUGCUCGCGCAUCGAACUACAUACCACCUAUCCUUCUCAGUUGCUUCGCGAGUAAAAUUAAGCUCGUUGACGAGAUCUGGGGCUUGUGUUGCGUACCUAACUAAAAGGAAUUAUUGAGUUUGGCUUCACACGUUGUUCGUGGCAUCUCCCUCAACGGGGGAAGUCGUGAACACAAUAAUUGGCACUUGUGAUCCUUGCGUCCUGGCACCAAAAAUGCUGUGUUCGCAAAGGUGAACAAGAUGUCGGUUGAAAUCUCGGAUGCGGAAAGAUUAUGGACGGUGACUCGAAGUGAUUCUGUCCCGCCAAAGCACGUUUGUCCUCGGAC